CCUGCUCAUAGACCAGGCACUAAGGACAAUUCUAAGGCCCAGRGAUCCCUUGCGGCCAAAAAGUGGAGGUGGAGGCAGCAUUGCAACCUGCAGAAAAAUGCCUUAGUCUAGAAACAAAGCCAAGAGGAGGAGGUUGUUUCUAUAACAUAAAAAGUUGUUGCUUUUUAUGCUUCAGAUUCCUGUUCUACAGCAGAAAGCUACUUCACAAAUUCGACAGGAUGGUUUUAAAAAACCUACAGAAAAGCUGUCAUUUCAUUCCCUGGAUUUUUACUGUAGAAUGAGCUUUUGCAGAGGACUGUGAGCUGUAAUGGAAGGAUUCAAUGCCAGGUUUUUGGCGGUAGCAGACGGGGAAGAGGAACUACCACAUGCAGAAAAAAAAAGUCGAAGAAAAUGUUCCUCACAUAUGGAGGGUGGGGAAGGAGAGAAGAUAAUGUUGCCAAGGUAACAUUGCUUGAAGAUAAGUAUUUUUAAAUCUGUGAAUUUAGCAUUCAAAACACAGUUGUGUUUCCCACAAAAAGAUUUGGGGGAGGGCUGGAGUGGAAAAAUCUUUUCCCUUACUUUUCAGGUCGUUCCUUUUUCUUUUAGAGGAGCCAGAACCCAAGAUAAGUGAAGUAAGUGCAAUUACUCUGAUGCUAACACUCCUGCAAAGAAAAGAUUUGUUUUGAAGAGGCAAGGAGCGCCAGUCAUAGUUCUGUAUCUGCACCAACAUCUCUAGCACAAACAUCGAUCAUCUCUUUAAUGGGGAAAGCAGUUUAACUAGAUCAGCUAGGCCACUAAAGAGUCGCAAGGACAAAUCUUGCAGCAUUCCAGGCUAAAUCCAGUGUAAGUCAGAGCACAAACUUAAUUAUAGUUGAUACUCAGAUGUCUGAGUGAUUUGAGUCGUGAUAAGGUAACUGAGGCCUUUGGCUGUGGACAGAGAGAAGACGCAGGAUUCAAAGUGAAAAGAAAGGGCAGAGGAGCCAGGUAAAAUGUGGCCCUGGGAAGUGUUUUGUUACCCCAGCUUCUACAGUGAAACAUCGCUGCAGCUGGGCAAGUGAUCCUCCAGUGACACUAUUAGGCAGAAAACAUUUGCUCUUUAUACGGGGCAUCGGUGCUGGGGCCGCCUCCAAAUCUCUGCAGCUUCUGUGCCCAAGUCCCCGCAGCGCUGGGCUCCUCACUGGCACGCAGGCGCUGGCACACUCCGCUCCCACCUCCCCGCUGGAGCCAGGCAGGGAAGGGAGGUUGCCCCCCGCGUGGCAGGUUGGCUUGGGAGCGUCUCCUGGCUGUGAGAGGUGGCCAUCCUGCUUCUGCAGGCUCUCCCAGGAGCCCGAAUGGGGGAAGGGGCCUUGGGAGGAGAAGAACCAGCUGUGUGAGUUAAUGGGAGCUGACAGAGAUGUCUGCAAGAAUACCCCAUUGCGUACCAUGGAAAAUCAGCCAGAGCAGGACCAAUGGAGGCAGCUGCCCCACUUUCAUUGCUGAGUAGGGUAUUGGGGAGCAUGGAGGAUGUCUGAAGCACUUAGUCCUUCCACCAUGCGGAGUUCACAUUAAAUUUGCAGGAGCCUGCACCUUCAUUUGAUGUUAUCACUCUUGUAAAAGAAAAGAGCAAAUUCACUGCUUGGUAACAGACCGCUCCAAAUUAACUUCAAGUGUGAGCCUGGGCCUGAAAACCUUUGUGUGACUAUGACUAUUAUUUAUGCUGUGUGAUUGCAAUGAUAUUCAUAUAAUAGCCUGGCACAGUGGCACUUAAGUCUUAGUUGUGGCUUGUAUGCAUUCAAAACCAAAUUUUCAAAGCUGUGUAGUUAUUUAGAUUUUGAAUAUCUCAUUAAGCAUGUAGUUGACUAUUUAAGUGCCUAGAUGUCUUUGCAAUUCUAGUAUUGCUAUAAUGCAAAGAAAAAGGAAAUGAUGCAGGGAGGUUGCUGGAUCAGGCCUCCGGUUUCAUAUCCCAGCAGAGAUAACUGCGUAGGGCCUGUUGCUAUUUAUAUCAUCGUUCGUAGUGAACCUCUUUUGUGCUUGAAGCACCUUGAUGAUGACUUUUACAUAGUAGAGAUAAAAAUUCUGCAAACCUACAUCCUGCAGUAGCCUUUAUAUAUUUUAUAGCUGUACUGUGCCAGUGUGGUAAUCACAUUUUCUCAAUUACCCUUAAGAACUGGAAUUCCUUAUCACCUCUGUGUUUCUUUCUCCCACUACUGCCUGGGUCUUGAAAUUGUCAUCACAGCUGAAAAUCCUCAUUCGGUAAAUUAAACUGUGAUAUAAGAAAAAAAUUUACACUGCAGCCUCCUCAUAAAGCUCCACCAAGUCUUUUGCUGAUGUGACUCACUCAAUUACUCAUGUGGGCAGACUUUCAGAUAAUAAAAGUAGUUAAUGGAAAGCA
This 2350-nucleotide long non-coding RNA is filed under the name Dromaius novaehollandiae (emu). Its description in RNAcentral is "lncRNA (ENSDNVG00000016466.1)". Lineage: Eukaryota; Metazoa; Chordata; Aves; Casuariiformes; Dromaiidae. The record is from RNAcentral.